Molecule: ribosomal RNA, 477 nt
Filed under: Triticum aestivum (bread wheat)
Lineage: Eukaryota; Viridiplantae; Streptophyta; Magnoliopsida; Poales; Poaceae
Description: partial small subunit ribosomal RNA
Source: RNAcentral
AUGAGAGGGCUCAUCUGGAACUGCAGAGGGGUGGGCAAGAAAGGGAUGGCCACCUGCCUCUCUGACCUUAUUAGUGACCAUUCCCUAGAUUUCCUGGGUCUACAAGAGACCAUGAAAGGAAAAUUUUCUCCAACAUGUUUGAGGAGAAUUGACCCCUUUAACUUGUUCAAUUGGGACUGGAUCCCUUCUGUGGGCAAAUCUGGAGGUAUCCUAUGUGGAAUUAGACAAGACACCCUGGAGGUGGUUGCAUGUGACAAAGGCAAGUAUAUCUUGCAGUUAGUGGUCGGGGAUAAAAAGAAAAAAACCAACUGGGGGCUGUUGAUAGUAUAUGGCUCUGCUCAUGAAGAACAUAAGGAGGAAUUCUUGCUUGAGCUUGCUACCAUGUGUCAUAAUAUGCAAGUCCUUUAUAUAGUGGGUGGGGACUUUAAUAUUCUCAGGCACCCUGGGGAGAAAAACAAAAAAAAUGGCAAACCAUAA